ACUGUGAUUAGUAAACUACAAAGGUGCCCUAUCCCCUUCUAGCGAUCUAAACAAGCUAUCUUCCUGCCUCGUCAAGUCGGCCUGGAAGGCUUCUCGCCUGUAUAUUCUCCCUUAGCAUUGGAACACUGGGUGCAAACACUCUCCCCUGCUUGUGGUCUUAUUGCGGAGACAUCCAUCAGAGAGAGCUGAGAGAAGAGGAGACAGGACCCUGAGAGCAGGGGCAGCACGUAAGAGGUCACUGAAGAACUGCAGACAACAGUGAAGCCAGGGGAUAUAGAAUGGGGAUUCUUCAAUGUUGAGAGGCUGGAUGACGGACAGGAGUUCAAGCACCUGAAUCUUUUUGGCCAUGAUUAACUAGAAGCACAGAAUGAGAAACAAGGUUGAGGAUGUGAUCUCUCAGCUUCUUCCUCCUGCUGCCAUCCCUACAACUUAUGACCAUGCUUCUCUACCAGGAUGAACUUUUGUCCCGUUGGAACUCCCCUGACUCCAAGCCCACAGAGGAAGUCAAAGUCACGUGCUUUACUUGAGCUUUACCUUCAAGAUGCGCAGUAUCCGAAGGAGUCGAACUAUAUUCAUGAAGAUCACAGUCUCAGAUACAGAGAAAUCAAACUGAAACUGAGCUGGAAGCUUCCUCCCUGCUGGCUAGCCCUCAUAGUUUCAUAAGAUGGCAUGAAACUUCUGGGGAAAUUUGUCAUGAACUGUCUUGCUCAGCUGUGGAAACUGUGUGCAACAAUGCUGACUGGCCAGGCAAGAACUCCCUGGUUCAACUGUGGACACCCCAACCUGUGGAGCUACUGAGCAAUUCCAACUAAGAAAUGGCAAAAUCAACUUCAAGCUCCUUCAAUUCUAUGGAGUUCCUGCAAGCAUUUGAAAGACAAGUGGUGUAUAUGUUGUCCUCAGUUUACCCUGUAUUUCCUUGAUGACCAGGUUGAGCACCUUAGUCCAAGAACUAUCCAGCCAGAUGUAGAAUAAUUCAUGACUUAAGAGUAUUCGCAGAAAAUAAAGCAUAAGAAUUAUGAAACAGCUGUCCUGGGAAGAAACGUGACCAUCUUCUGCAACUUGACAAGUCUGGCAAAUGUUCUACAAGUUACCUGGCAA
Molecule: long non-coding RNA, 1098 nt
Organism: Peromyscus californicus insignis
Lineage: Eukaryota; Metazoa; Chordata; Mammalia; Rodentia; Cricetidae
Exons: 9
Source: RefSeq, a predicted model, not a curated record